This 482-nucleotide ribosomal RNA is filed under the name Fusarium solani. Its description in RNAcentral is "eukaryotic LSU rRNA". It matches the Rfam family "Eukaryotic large subunit ribosomal RNA", at positions 66 to 559 of the family's 3401-position model. RNAcentral also lists the same sequence under 4 other names. The record is from RNAcentral. Lineage: Eukaryota; Fungi; Ascomycota; Sordariomycetes; Hypocreales; Nectriaceae.
CAACAGGGAUUGCCCCAGUAACGGCGAGUGAAGCGGCAACAGCUCAAAUUUGAAAUCUGGCUCUCGGGCCCGAGUUGUAAUUUGUAGAGGAUGCUUUUGGUGAGGUGCCUUCCGAGUUCCCUGGAACGGGACGCCAUAGAGGGUGAGAGCCCCGUCUGGUUGGACACCGAUCCUCUGUAAAGCUCCUUCGACGAGUCGAGUAGUUUGGGAAUGCUGCUCUAAAUGGGAGGUAUAUGUCUUCUAAAGCUAAAUACCGGCCAGAGACCGAUAGCGCACAAGUAGAGUGAUCGAAAGAUGAAAAGAACUUUGAAAAGAGAGUUAAACAGUACGUGAAAUUGUUGAAAGGGAAGCGCUUGUGACCAGACUUGGGCUUGGUUGAUCAUCCGGGGUUCUCCCCGGUGCACUCUUCCGGCUCAGGCCAGCAUCAGUUCGCCCUGGGGGACAAAGGCUUCGGGAAUGUGGCUCUCUCCGGGGAGUGUUAU